GAGGACCAUUGGGCAUGGCUUU
RNAcentral lists this microRNA (22 nucleotides) under Panagrellus redivivus. RNAcentral describes it as "prd-miR-7907a-3p". The record is from miRBase by way of RNAcentral. Lineage: Eukaryota; Metazoa; Nematoda; Chromadorea; Rhabditida; Panagrolaimidae.